This 434-nucleotide ribosomal RNA is filed under the name uncultured Bifidobacteriaceae bacterium. RNAcentral's name for it is "bacterial SSU rRNA". It matches the Rfam family "Bacterial small subunit ribosomal RNA", at positions 354 to 796 of the family's 1533-position model. Lineage: Bacteria; Bacillati; Actinomycetota; Actinomycetes; Bifidobacteriales; Bifidobacteriaceae. The record is from RNAcentral.
GUGGGGAAUAUUGCACAAUGGGCGCAAGCCUGAUGCAGCGACGCCGCGUGCGGGAUGGAGGCCUUCGGGUUGUAAACCGCUUUUGAUCGGGAGCAAGCCCUUCGGGGUGAGUGUACCUUUCGAAUAAGCACCGGCUAACUACGUGCCAGCAGCCGCGGUAAUACGUAGGGUGCAAGCGUUAUCCGGAAUUAUUGGGCGUAAAGGGCUCGUAGGCGGUUCGUCGCGUCCGGUGUGAAAGCCCAUCGCUUAACGGUGGGUCUGCGCCGGGUACGGGCGGGCUGGAGUGCGGUAGGGGAGACUGGAAUUCCCGGUGUAACGGUGGAAUGUGUAGAUAUCGGGAAGAACACCAAUGGCGAAGGCAGGUCUCUGGGCCGUCACUGACGCUGAGGAGCGAAAGCGUGGGGAGCGAACAGGAUUAGAAACCCGAGUAGUCC